UCGCGGCUUAUCACCGGCAGUCUCCCUAGAGUGCCCAACUAAAUGAUGGCAACAUGGAACGGGGGUUGCGCUCGUUGCGGGACUUAACCCAACAUCUCACGACACGAGCUGACGACAGCCAUGCACCACCUGUGAUGGUGUCCCGAAGGAAAACCGUGUUUCCACGGCGGUCACCAACAUGUCAAGCCCAGGUAAGGUUCUUCGCGUUGCGUCGAAUUAAACCACAUGCUCCGCUGCUUGUGCGGGCCCCCGUCAAUUCCUUUGAGUCUCAUUCUUGCGAACGUACUCCCCAGGUGGUUUACUUAACGCUUUCGCUUGGACGCACGGCCGCAGGGGCCGGACGUCGAGUAAACAUCGUUUAGGGCGUGGACUAC
This 374-nucleotide unclassified non-coding RNA is filed under the name uncultured bacterium. RNAcentral describes it as "contains 16S-23S intergenic spacer region". The record is from RNAcentral.